GGGCGUUUGGCACAGUGGUAGCGCGUACGCUUUGCAUCGUCGGUUCUUAACCAGCAACGUGAUUGCGUAAGGUCGUGGGUUCAAGCCCCACAACGUCCA
This is a non-coding RNA of Daedaleopsis nitida, 99 nucleotides long. NCBI's taxonomy places the organism in Eukaryota, Fungi, Basidiomycota, Agaricomycetes, Polyporales, Polyporaceae. The record is from the annotation of a GenBank genome assembly.